RNAcentral lists this transfer RNA (72 nucleotides) under Ictidomys tridecemlineatus (thirteen-lined ground squirrel). RNAcentral's name for it is "Spermophilus tridecemlineatus (thirteen-lined ground squirrel) tRNA". It matches the Rfam family "tRNA". Rfam says of the family: Transfer RNA (tRNA) molecules are approximately 80 nucleotides in length. Their secondary structure includes four short double-helical elements and three loops (D, anti-codon, and T loops). The record is from Rfam by way of RNAcentral. Lineage: Eukaryota; Metazoa; Chordata; Mammalia; Rodentia; Sciuridae.
UGGGGUGUGGCUCAGUGGCAGAGCGCUUGCCUACGAUGUGUGAGGCACUGGGUUCAAUUCUCAGAACCGCAU